This 1817-nucleotide long non-coding RNA is filed under the name Acanthaster planci (crown-of-thorns starfish). RNAcentral's name for it is "uncharacterized LOC110975900". The record is from RNAcentral. Lineage: Eukaryota; Metazoa; Echinodermata; Asteroidea; Valvatida; Acanthasteridae.
CAAGCAUGCUCCAACAUCUGAUCCUAUCAAAACAAGAGGUGGAUCCAAGCCCAAGUGUUGACAGUACACGUUUUUCAAAUCGUCAGUGGACAGACCAAAAACUGCACAAAGGAACGACAAGUGCAAACGGUUGGUGGUUGCAACCAAAAUGGGAGACACUGGAUCUUGAUUGGACAAGGGUCGGUGGCCAUCUUGGUUGUCAAGAAGGACACAACUGGUGACCUGAAUGGGGGAGACAAAACAUCAAUCAGUGCUAGGUGCCAGAGAGAGCCAACUUGACCUACAAAUAGGAGAAGUGAGGCCUUGUGCAAGGGAAAGGCAGCUGAAGAAUGGGGCACAUGCAGCUGAUGAUGAUGAGUCUUCCCACAGGGGGAAUAGCAAGACCAAGUCAGAAUGAUCACACUGGCAACCUGUUGCUCAGGGAUUACCACUGAAGACAGAUCAGCUUGUACAAGGAACAGAGUGGCUUGCCAGCUGAAACCCAUUGCUAGUUGGUUUGAUGAAUAAGGCCCAAGUGUUAGAUCUUCCCAGCCACAGACCUGUCUAACAUGGGAUGGCCAGUUGAGGUACUGAGGAGACUGCUCAUAAAAGAACAUACACAAAAACUAAGUCUUUCUGGUAUUUCGGCUGCCAGUCACAUUGCUUGAAGUAGCUGAUCCAAAAAAAAGUGAAGCGCAAUGAAUUUAUGACAACGGCGGCACAUUAAUGUUUGUACAAGAAGUCUCCCUUCAAUGAGAAACCUGUCAGACUCACAGUGACACAAAGAACUGCAAAUCCCCGUAAUAGGCAGAAACCAAUGUUCCAUGAAAUGUAGUUUUUAAAGAGACCUUGGGAUUCAUGAGGGUGAAUACAAUCAGGAAUAAAAAAUUGCUUUUGUAAAGUGUGGAACAAAGUUUAUCUACCACAAAUAAGUUAUUGCCAUGCCAUGAAUAAAAGUUCAAAGCAGAACCUCCAUGAUUCAUCUCAAUAAGAAAGUACUGGCACAUUUUAGUGUUACUCCAGUUUGAAGGUCGAUACAACCUUGGACUGUAUUCUGGGAAAUAAAUUUUCUGCUUAUGCACUGAAAAGUGUUUGUGAUUACAUAUGUAUAUGCCUUAAAUACAAUCGCAAACUUUAUGCAAAUGUGAAAAUGCCAGAACAAAAUCCCUUAACAAAAAUACGCCUUUCUCUUGAAAAAAAAUCCACAAUGAUACAUAGCCUAAGUAGCAAAGUGCAGAAGUAAAUUUUAAAAGAUACAACAAAACAAGUUGUUAUCAUUUUCACAAAGGGAUGGAUGAGGUGCCUCAAAGUUAGCCAAAAUAGUAAUGAAAUCAUUGACAAGCUAUGUUCUCCAAGAUCUUGGAGGGGGAUACUGUAAUACUGUCCAGCCACUCAUUUUUUUUUUUUGGCGGGGGGUAAAUGCUUUCAAGAAAACAAAACAAUCUCCUUCUCAAUUACAGGAAUGACACAAAUCUGAGUGAUGGGUUUGAGCUGUCAAACUGAUUCUUAAUACUCAUUCCAUAACUCAUAUCAGCAAUCUUCAUCAGGCACUCUCUUGGUCACCUUUUCCAUCUCUCUGGCAAUGUUAUAGAAUAUGUGAUGUGUAUAAAUGUCUCAAUAACAUGAAUCCAGCCUAUCUUAGUACUCUUAGCAAUGCGAUCUGAUUCUGUUAAUACUCGAUCCAAGUCUAAUGGGUUACCUCACCUCCUUACUGUUCCCAGGACAAAUGCCGCUAAACAUAUGUUUGAAUAUUUUGGGACCCUGAGAUGGAACAUGUUAACUUCAUCUCAGCGAUAAGCCAAAUCUUUACAUUUGAAGCAAGAUAUGGGACGGAGAGA